This 66-nucleotide transfer RNA is filed under the name Epinotia rubiginosana. RNAcentral's name for it is "tRNA-Val". The record is from RNAcentral. Lineage: Eukaryota; Metazoa; Arthropoda; Insecta; Lepidoptera; Tortricidae.
CAAAUUAGAGCUUGAUUAAAGCAUUUCAUUUACAUUGAAAAGAUAUUAUUUAUAUAUUUAAUUUGA